RNA transcript from Chroicocephalus ridibundus (black-headed gull), 3774 nucleotides. It is a transcript of the gene named tyrosyl-tRNA synthetase 2, with no coding region annotated. The record is from RefSeq and is a predicted model, not a curated record. The transcript has 6 exons. NCBI's taxonomy places the organism in Eukaryota, Metazoa, Chordata, Aves, Charadriiformes, Laridae.
UGAAGGCCGCAUUUCCAAUGUGUGUAUUUGAGCCCGAAAGCAGUCUGAAAUGCCCGUAUUUCGGGUUGGGUUGCGGGGGGAACGAAAGAGGACCCAACGCAUCCCGCUUCUCCGUGCACCUCCUUUUAACAACCGCCUUUGGCUCUCUGCCCGUUAAACGGCGGCUCGGGGAGCCCCGCCCCGCUCCCAGCCUCCCCCGCGGCAAGAUGGCGGCACCGGCACUGAGGCGGCGUUGCGGCCGGGUGGCGGGGUUGUUGGGCGGCCCGCUCCGGGCCCCGCCGCCGCUGCUCCCUCUCCGGCGGCGAGCCCACCACCAGCAACAGCAGCCGCGGCGGGCCCGGGGCACCGGAGGUCUGCUGGCGGCGCAGUGCGAGCGCGGCCUCUUCCAGGAGGUGUUCCCGGCGCAGAGCGCGGAGGAGCAGCUGCCGGGGCUGCUGGAGCCAGGCCGCCCUCCCCUCACCGCCUACUGCGGCUUCGACCCCACCGCCGACUCGUUGCACGUCGGGCACCUGCUGCCCGUCAUGGGGCUCCUCCACUUCCAGCGGGCCGGCCACAACGUUAUCGCCGUGGUGGGAGGCGCCACGGCGCGGCUGGGGGACCCCAGCGGCCGGGAGCGGGCGCGGGAGGCGCCGUCGGCCGAGCGGGUGCGGGAGCAGGCGCGGGGUCUGCGGGCCGGGCUGGAGCGGCUCUUCGGCAACCACCGGGAGCUGUUCUGGGGGGCGGGCGGCGGGCGGCUGGGGCAGGCGGAGCUGCUGGAUAACGACUGGUGGCUGGGCCGGCAGCCGCUGCUCGACUUCCUCGGCGGAGCGGGCGGCCGGCUCCGCAUGGGGACGCUGCUGAGCCGGCAGAGCUGCCAGGCGCGGCUGCGCAGCCCCGAGGGCAUGAGCCUGGCCGAGUUCCUCUACCCGGCGCUGCAGGCCUACGACUUCCUCCACCUCUACCGCCACCACGGCUGCCGAGUCCAGCUGGGGGGAGCCGACCAGAUGGGCAACAUCAUGUCCGGCUACGAGCUCGUCACCAAGAUGACAGGAACAGAUGUGUUUGGAAUUACCGUACCUCUUAUUACCAGUACUACUGGAGAUAAACUGGGAAAGACUGCUGGCAAUGCAGUUUGGCUAAACAGAGAUAAGACUUCUCCAUUUGAGCUGUAUCAGUUUUUUGUUAGACAACAAGAUAAUGUAGUUGAAAAAUACCUGAAACUCUUCACCUUCCUUCCUCUUGAGGAGAUUGACCACAUUAUGGAAAUGCAUGCUAAAGAACCUGAAAAAUGGGGCCCUCAGAAACGACUUGCUGCAGAAGUAACCAAGCUUGUUCAUGGUAGAGAGGGGCUAGAAUCUGCUAAGAGGUGCACUAAGGCCCUUUAUUACAGCAGCGUGGAGGCAUUGGAAGCUAUGUCUGACCAAGAAUUACAGGAACUUUUUAGACAAGCUCCUUCAGCUGAAUUGAUGCUUGAACCUGGAAUGAACGUUCUUGAUUUGUGUCGCAAAGCAAAUGCCAUUCUGGAUGGACCUAGUGGGUACCAGAAAAUUACAGAUGGUGGAGUUUCAAUAAAUGGGAUUCGAGUGACUGAUCCUGAGACCGUUCUUAUUCUCGGACAGCAUAUUCUGAAGAACGGAGUAUCAUUGCUUAGGGUUGGAAAGAAAAAUUACUACAUUAUAAAAUGGCUGCAGUUGUGACAACAGAAUAUCUGCUUAAAGCAACACAUCAUUUUGACUCUGCUGCUUGAAGAUGUACUUGAAGAUGUUUCUAUACUGUGCAUUAUAACUACUCAGCUCACAAACUACCCAAUACCAUAGUUUCAUUUUCAAAGUACACCAACAGAGUUCAAAUAAAGGCAGCUAAGUUAUACCACUGAAGAGACUUAGAUACUCCGCCUUAUUCAAAGCACCAUUCAUAAGAGAAUAUGCACAAGAAGAUGAAAAGAUUAAUUUCAAAGUCCAAAGAUACGGAGAUGGUCUUCGCCUCCUUUAACAACCUUCUGUGUUGUAGGAGGACAGCAAUGGCCAGGUACUCUACAGCGUAAUCCACAGCAAGAUGAGCAAAAGCAUACUGAAGAACAGUACUUUUUACAGAGGAUGGAUGCUGCUGUCCAGUUUGACUUCUUCCUAACAGAGAAACCUGUGUAAGUGGUGUGGGUGACACUAAUUCCUCUUCUCCAGUCCUGUGAAUUACCAGGAUGCUUCUGUGGCUAUCUAGAAUCUUCGUCGAAUGUAAAGCCCACAGAACUAGUGCCAGGACAUACCGUCAGUUGCAAGAUAGUAUAUUAUACUGGAAGAUUUGAAGCAUGUACGUAUGUGAAAGCUUUUUUAAUUUUAGUACACUGCCUUGCUAAAUUCCCUUCCCAUGGUGCGGUUUGGGAUUGGGUUGCUUACACAAUAUAGGUGCCACAGUACUUAACAGCCAGGUCACCUGAACAACAACAAAACCCACAUGUGGUUACCAAGAUUAUUUGUAAUACAAGCCCAUAUUUGAAUUACUUAGAACCGUUCAAUUGACUUAGAAUACAGUAAUGUAGCUGGCUGACUCAGAAAAUAUUAUUAAGCCCUCCUUGCCCCACUGUACACACAUCUGAAACCCUCAGUCUGAUUUAUGAGAUGAUUGAUUGGUUUGGGCCUUGGCUGCAGUGUUGUUUUUGAGGUUUAGGGUAAUCCUCACUCUUAGGAGGAUCCUUUCCUAGUCCAUGAAACUCCUAGACAAUACAUUUUUGCAGUCACAAGGGGAGAGGCCUUAAUCUUAGCUACGUGCAUGUGGUAACUCAUCACCAUCUCUUAUGUUGUUAGAAUAAGUCAUGGUAUUUCAUGUGGUUUAAAACCACCCAGCCUAUAAGAAGAAAGGGGAAAUGAUAAGAAACGUUAGUAAGUCUCAAGAAUCCAGAUAUUCUAUAGUUGGGUGGGGAGUUUCUGUUGGUUUGUUUAGACGGGUUGGUUUUGGUUUUUUGUUUUUUUAACUUGAUGUGAUCAACUUCAUGUUGCCUUUACUGGCGCUGUCAAUCAAGAUUUCAAUAGUACUAAAUUUUAGUGGCUUGCUGCUUAUACAUCGCAGUUUCUUCAGAUUUUUAAACUGUAAUAGCAGUACUUUCAGUAGCUCACCACGUGGAGUUACAAGUAUUAAUCUUAAUUUCUAGACCCCACUUACCUGCCCAACAAUGAGAUUUCUCUAUGCUAAUCUCUGUUACAUAGAGAAAAAUAAAAAAAGUUGAGUCAUUCCUACCUUAAAAAAAGGCUCUACCCAGCCUGUUGGCUCUCGGGAUCAGUUUAUGUUGCUUGUUACUUUGUCUUAAGCUGCAGUAGUGAUGAGCGCUAUCCUACAGAAAGCAUACGGAGGAAAAAAUCACAACUUUGAUGUGGAAAGGGUAGAAGAAGGGCAGGGAAAGGAAAGUUAAGUUCAUCCACUUAAUAUCACUGUGUUGUUCCUUAAACAGCAGAAGCAUUAUAGCAAUGAACGUGCACCUGGGAACAAAACAUGCCAGUUCACACCCAUGUUUGUUCGCCUCUAGAGAAACACAUCAGAUUUGACAGUUACUUUCUGGUUGCAGGAAAUAAACUAGGAGUAUAGUAAGUCAUGUUUCGUAUCUUAUCUCUCUCCUGCCUUUUUUCCUUCAUCUCCAAAUGGUGUAAAUACACGCAUAUCCACAAAUUUCAGCUUUUUUUAAAAAGCAUUAGUACCCACUUUGAUCAAGUAUUAAAAUGAUUUUAUUUAUUUUUACAAAUACAAAAUAAAAAAGGGAAUUAAAAUUCUUUGCAUACAAGGUUUUUAAUAAGAGCCAUAAACUCU